UGGGGAAUUUUGGACAAUGGGCGCAAGCCUGAUCCAGCCAUGCCGCGUGCGGGAAGAAGGCCUUCGGGUUGUAAACCGCUUUUGUCAGGGAAGAAACGCUCUGGGCUAAUACCCCGGGGUAAUGACGGUACCUGAAGAAUAAGCACCGGCUAACUACGUGCCAGCAGCCGCGGUAAUACGUAGGGUGCAAGCGUUAAUCGGAAUUACUGGGCGUAAAGCGUGCGCAGGCGGUUAUGCAAGACAGAUGUGAAAUCCCCGGGCUUAACCUGGGAACUGCAUUUGUGACUGCAUAGCUAGAGUGCGGCAGAGGGGGAUGGAAUUCCGCGUGUAGCAGUGAAAUGCGUAGAUAUGCGGAGGAACACCGAUGGCGAAGGCAAUCCCCUGGGCCUGCACUGACGCUCAUGCACGAAAGCGUGGGGAGCAAACAGG
This 429-nucleotide ribosomal RNA is filed under the name uncultured Rubrivivax sp. Its description in RNAcentral is "bacterial SSU rRNA". It matches the Rfam family "Bacterial small subunit ribosomal RNA", at positions 355 to 776 of the family's 1533-position model. Lineage: Bacteria; Pseudomonadati; Pseudomonadota; Betaproteobacteria; Burkholderiales; Sphaerotilaceae. The record is from RNAcentral.